Molecule: long non-coding RNA, 1505 nt
Organism: Pecten maximus
Lineage: Eukaryota; Metazoa; Mollusca; Bivalvia; Pectinida; Pectinidae
Exons: 4
Source: RefSeq, a predicted model, not a curated record
UUCAGUAUAUGCUGUCCGCUUCUUAUCGGUCUUCUAGGCUGUUGUAUAAGAACAUAUCGCCACAAUGAUGAACAAAAUAGGGAAAGCAAGAACGAAGGAAAAGAGGAUGAAGAGAUUCCGCUUAAGAAGGAAAGUUUUAAAGAGACAACUGUUUAAAUUUCCGUGGCAAACGUACAAUGUUACGAAAGGACUGCUUGGUGUACAUGGUAUAUUGCAUGGUGAGUGACUGGCACAGGAAAAUCGUGAGGAGCAAGACAUGUGAUAACAAUAUUAUUUUGCAUUCCAAAGUCUUUCAUAUUUAUUGAGACUUUGUGUUUACUUUCAGUAACAAACUACCUAUAGCCUGAUGCGUAGUUUGUGUAUUAGAAUACGUAAGCAUUAAAUAUGUUAGUUAGAUGUUAUAUAUAUAAGCUUGACAUGAGAAUUGUGUUAAGGUGGUGAGCAUCAACUUACAUAAGUACGGACUCGAAACCUUUCGAAUGGAUGAUGUUUUGAUAAGUGAUUAUUUUUAUGUUUUUUAGAACAUGGUGCUUGGUGUUCACAAUAGAUAUGUUUUCAUUAAUACGUUCAGACGAUGAUAUAACACAGUUCAUGUUCGCGUGUAGUCCAAAGCACAAGGAGGCGAUAUAUGUCUUUUCUUCGAGAUAUUAGUGUGAUAUAAUUGAGGAUACAUGAUAUAAGAUAUACUUGAAUGUGACGCAAUACUCGAUAUAGAAAGAGAUCUGGAUGCAGACCUGACAGGUAUCAUUUCACUAAUGUUAGUGUUAAUCAAUUUGUGAUGUUUUUAUCCUUGACCCGGGACCGUCAUUUUAGACACAGUGCAUUAGUGUAUAUCAAGUCAUUUAUUUACAUUUUGCUAUAUACGCAUGAAUUGUUAUGGCACGACCAGAGUGUUUCAAAGAGUUAUGGUCGUUUUCCGCUUAUCCUGACCUAGGCCACGUACAACCAAAGUCUGGGCUAAAAACACAGGUAAAAUAUCACGUGACCCCAGUGUUUCCUACACUACCAAAAUAGAUCGUCAUGGUCCAUUGGCGCACUGUAUGUUGUGAACGGAUUACAUUGACAUGAUCAAUAUGAAUUUUACACUACCCAUCCAUGUAUGCCUGUUGUCGACGCUCCAGUUCAUUUACACUUUACUUUGAAUGAUACGGGGUAAACCGGUUAUGAUUUUAGUCUUAUUUUUGUCAAAGUGGAAAAUUUCUACCUCAACAUUUUUAUCUUUAUACUUAAUAUUUUAUAUUAGAUAUGCAUUUAAUGUUACAAAUAUCUUUGAAAAACGAUCGAAAAAAAAUUUAAUGAUAUUAAAAAACAUAACAAAAUAUGAAUAAGAUACAUCUUUGUGAUGUGAACUCCGAACCUUCGGGUUGCUAGGGGACGGUUCUACCAUUGAGCUAUGCGGAUUUACGGCAAUGUGAAGUUUAUGUUACUAGUUAUAGUCAGUCUAGUUAAUGCUCAAACUAAAAUAUUUUAUUUACAUUUUUUUCAAUUUUUUGAUACCAACGCAU